Molecule: long non-coding RNA, 536 nt
Filed under: Homo sapiens (human)
Lineage: Eukaryota; Metazoa; Chordata; Mammalia; Primates; Hominidae
Description: non-protein coding lnc-HDDC2-13:1
Source: RNAcentral
CUGCAUUAAAUCCUGCUUUAUGUUGAUAAAAAUUCCUGUUGCCAUAAUAGUUUUGCAUCCAAUCUUUUUGAAAAGCUUGGUUUAUGGCACUACAAUUCAGUCCAAGAGGAAUUAACCCAAGUUCAAGCAUAUUUUAUGAUACCUUUUUUUUUUUCUGAAGUCUAGGUAAAAUUAACUUUAAUUUUGGUUUCUUUCCAAAUUCUGCAUUUAACCUGGAUGAGUGAAUGAAGGGUUGAAGGACCAUCGCAUUUUCAUGUUAUAAUUGAUGUUUAUGUUGGGCAAGUGAACACUGUUCAUAUAUCAAGCUGUCAAGUAUUGUCACCUUAAUAGAGUAAACAAUUAAAAAGAAGAAUUGUAACAAUCAUUUUAAUGGGCUUCUUGUUCAUUAAUUUCAUAGAAAAAAACUAAAACUGAUUUGUGAAAAUAAACUACCCAUACUUUGCCUCUUUCUCUCUUUUUAAAGUGAUCCAUCAGCUAGACCAUCACAAGUGUUCUGUAAAUCUAUUUUAUUCCCCUUACUUUAUAGGAAAAUUAGA